GGAAAGGGGGUUUCCAUAUGCCUCGGGGAGCACUUGGGCCCCUCCUGACUCAAGGCUGACUCACCGCUUCCCUCUUCAGGAGGAAUUACUCACCUAGACAC
This 101-nucleotide long non-coding RNA is filed under the name Sus scrofa (pig). RNAcentral describes it as "lncRNA (ENSSSCG00055023622.1)". The record is from RNAcentral. Lineage: Eukaryota; Metazoa; Chordata; Mammalia; Artiodactyla; Suidae.